UCCGCGAUAGCUCAAUCGGUAGAGCGAACGGCUGUUAACCGUUUGGUUCCAGGUUCGAGUCCUGGUCGCGGAG
Molecule: transfer RNA, 73 nt
Filed under: Candidatus Dojkabacteria bacterium
Lineage: Bacteria
Description: tRNA-Asn
Rfam family: tRNA
About the family: Transfer RNA (tRNA) molecules are approximately 80 nucleotides in length.
Source: RNAcentral